Molecule: long non-coding RNA, 2068 nt
Filed under: Gossypium barbadense (sea-island cotton)
Lineage: Eukaryota; Viridiplantae; Streptophyta; Magnoliopsida; Malvales; Malvaceae
Description: long non-coding RNA (GBAR_LNC017820)
Source: RNAcentral
AAGUUUCGACACUUCCAUAGCAAAAUUAAGGUAUGUUUUGGUUUCGAUUUUUGAUAAUUUUUAUGUUUUUGAGAUCAUUGCUUUGUGUACUACAAGACCCAUACUUUAAUUUUAGAAUUUGAUGGUGAUUUUGAGAUAUGCCAUUAAUGAAUGCUUGAGAUUUGUGAUAGUUGAUGAUGAAAUAUGAAAGAUAUGUAAAGGAUUAACAUGUUUUGUCUUUGAAUGUUUAGUGAAAUUGAGUAAUUAGGGUUAAAAUUGUGAAAAUAAAAUUUUGAGGGACUAAAAUGGGAAAUAAAUGAAAUGUGUGGACUUGUAUGAAGCCUAUGAAUAUUCGGCCCUAGCAUAGUGUGGGCAAAUUUUGUGUAUUUCAUGUUUUGUGCAAAAAGGACUAAAUUGUAAAAAGUGUAAAAUGUCAGGGGCAAAAUGAUAAUUUGCCCAUUUAUGUAUUUUUGGAUUUAAUUGAAUGUUUUGAUGAAUAAAAAGGUUAAAUUUGAAUAUGUUUAGAUCAUGAACGAAGAAAACGGAAUUGGAUCGGGGGAAAACGAAAGUAGUCGAGUAAUCGAUCGUGUCCGCCGAUAUCCGAGGUAAGUCAAUUAGCAAGUAAAUGUUAUCUAAAUUGAAUAUAUAUAUACACAUUUUUUUACCACACAUAUGAUAAGUUAGAACUUAAAAUGUGUAAAUUAAAUAAAACCUUGUAAUUUACCUAUAUAUUAUAGCUGAAUAUAAGAAUUAAUAUUAAUAAGUUGAUGUUAAUGAUUUAGGUUUCAUGUACGUUAGCUAAAUAUGCUAUAAAUUCAAUGAUUCGAAACAAAUGGUGGAAUAAAUAUACAUAGAUGUGUAAAUUCGAAUGUAAGGCUUAAUUCUUUGGAUUGAAUUUAAGUUAUGAGUUAAAGAUAUGGUUCUAAAGUAUAUUAUAAGUUCUUGUAAUAAAAUUUAAAUACUAUGAAUUACAUAUAUCUUUGUGCGUAUUGUUAGAACAUAGUUAUAUACGUAUAUUCAUGUUCUUGAGCUGGAAAAUUAAUGUAUGAAUUUUAUAGGUAUAAGAGGGUUCGAACAUAGAUUACAAAAACAUUUGUGCUGAAUGUAAUGUUUUUUUAUAGUUAUACCUAUGUGGUCCGAAUGUAAGUUUACUAUGAAGAAUCGAAUAUAAUUCAAUGUUAUGGAUAUGCAGUUACUGAGUAAGACUUAUGUAAUUAUAAAUAACUAUACGAAAGAGCGUCUUUGUAUUUGAGAUUCUCAGGCUUGUGCCUAGCAGGCUUAAUGCCUGUGAAAUAUUCAGACUAUACGUCUAGCAGGCUUAAUGCCGGUGAAAUAUUCAGAUUAUACGUCUAGCAGGCUUAAUGCCAGUGAAAUAUUCAGACUAUACGUCUAGCAGGUUUAAUGCCAGUGAAAUAUUCAGACUAUACAUCUAGCAGGCUUCAUGCCGGUGAACGGAAUCAGGCUUUAAGCCUAGCAGGCUAUGUGCUGGUGAAUUUAUUUAAAACGUGUGUUCAGAAAGUUCUUGUUAAUGUAAUUUUAAAUGUAGUCGGACAUGUGAAUGAAUUAUAUUUGUAGGUAUGUAUUAAUUAAAUGAAUGAAUGAAAAUAAGGUAAGUUGUCUAUUCGGAAUGAAAUAUCAUAAGUGUUUGUAAUAUUAUAAGUUACCAUUUUUAUUUAGAGAUGUAAAUUGGCUUAGUUGAUAACUAAGCUGCCAUAACGAAGGCUUAUAUAUAUAUAUUUAUAUAUGGAUGAAUUAAGGUAUGUUUAGAUUAAUAGAAAGGUAUAUGGAAUUGAAAGUGUAACCAAGAGAUGUAUAAUCCUUAUAAAUAAUUUAAUUGUUCUUUUUUUUAUUUGUUAAAUUUUAUCUAUGCUAUUGACUUACUAAGCUUUAAAAUGCUUACUGUAUGCAUUUGUGUCUGUUUAUUUUGUCUUAUAGAUUUUGAGGUGGUUACGAGUUCGGGAUCGUCAGUAAAGUUUAUCACACUAUUGGAUAAUUACGGUAUUUUAAGCUGAAAUUUUCUUGAAACUAUGGCGUGUAUAGACUAGUUUGAAAUUGUUUCUUUUGAGAGUAUAUUUGUAUUAAAGCCAUG